CAGUAGCCACGGUAAUACGAAGGGUGCAAGCGUUACUCGGAAUUACUGGGCGUAAAGCGUGCGUAGGUGGUGGUUUAAGUCCGUUGUGAAAGCCCUGGGCUCAACCUGGGAAUUGCAGUGGAUACUGGGUCACUAGAGUGUGGUAGAGGAUAGUGGAAUUUCCGGUGUAGCAGUGAAAUGCGUAGAGAUCGGUAGGAACAUCUGUGGCGAAGGCGACUAUCUGGGCCAACACUGACACUGAGGCACGAAAGCGUGGGGAGCAAACAGGAUUAGAUACCCCUGUAGUCCCUGUCUCUUAUAC
Molecule: ribosomal RNA, 301 nt
Filed under: uncultured bacterium
Lineage: Bacteria
Description: partial 16S ribosomal RNA
Rfam family: Bacterial small subunit ribosomal RNA
Source: RNAcentral